Molecule: long non-coding RNA, 1879 nt
Filed under: Olea europaea subsp. europaea
Lineage: Eukaryota; Viridiplantae; Streptophyta; Magnoliopsida; Lamiales; Oleaceae
Source: RNAcentral
CCCAACCCAACUCCCAAACUCGCCUUAGUCAAAAAUUAGAUUGAAGUCGUGUAAUCAUAAACAAAAACCCAGACACUCCUCUCUCUCAACCGUGAACCCUAUCCCCAAAUCGUUCCCUUGAAAGCGAUAUUGCAGAGACCCCUACCCCCUAAAUCCAAACUCCAUCAUAAUCAAAGGCAAACCGUGACCACAAAGCUUGGAUUUGCGAAGAUUGACUGUUCAAACGUUGACAUGGAUUGAAGAAAUUGGGGUAAUUCCAUUUUUUUCUCUAACUACGAUGCUAUCAAUCAUUUGGAAUGAAAUUUCAUUCUCUAGAUGACCUUUUAGUGAUAUAGAUACUUGAUGAUGUUAAUUUAUAGCGUUAAACGUGUUUUGUAAUUUUCGUUUAAUGGAUUAUUGAUGAAACGCACGGAAAGCUGACAGGUUGUGCUAUUCUUUGUUCAAAUGUAUGUUAGGAAUCAAGUGCACUGAGGAGAAAUUCUUUAUUCCAAGUGACUGACUGUGGUUUAUUUUAGACCCUUUAGAUGUAAUAUUGUUUGUCUUCUGGCGAUGAAAAAUUAUUUAUGUGGCAACUGAUAUUAUUCACCAGAUAUAAAUAGCAUAGUAUCUAAUAGCUUCAGUGACUUCAUAAUAAAAGUGUCGUGCUUCUAAUUUUCGUAGGUUUAUAUGUGUGUCGUCUCAAAUGUUUCUUCAUAUUAUGACUGUUGGACCUGUGUUUUUAAGUGCAUCUAUUCUGAGCAUAUAUUGAUUUAAUGUUUGGUGGAUAAAUCAGAUUUAUUACAUUCAGAAUAACAGAUAUAAGUGGCAUUGUAGAAGUAUCUUGGACAUCUAGCUUUGUAGAAAUACCUCUUUGAAUUAGUAACUGUAUUUAUCAAAAUUGUCCACAUUUUAACUCUUUGGUGAAUUAUUUUCUACAUAACACGAAUGUUGACAUUCUUCUGUAUCUUUUUGUUGUGUAGGAAAGAAAAAGGGAAUUUCUCACUGUUAUAGAUAGUCGGGACACCAACUGUGGGACUGCCAAAAAAAGUAGUGAUGUCGAAAUUGUGCUUCAAGCUUUCUGAAAUGGAUGGAAGUAGAAAAGAAGACCGAAAACAUAGGUCUGUUAUUCAUUUGGAUCAAUAUGUAAAUGUUUGGGGAAAUACAAUCCUACACCUCUAAUUGCCGAUCUGUCGACUAUAUUCAAACAUUUUGCUGAAAUCCAUAUGCAAGGGAAAAGGAGCUAUGGAAGAGAACAGGAAAAAAAUUGAAGGGAUUUUUUAAUGUAGUCUGUCUAUGUACUUGGUGAGAAUUAGUUUUUUAUUUCAUGUCCAUAACCACGUACGUUGAUUCGGUUCGGCUCAAUUAAUAAGCACGAAAACAAAUUAAUUUUUGUAGGCUCGACCAUCAAAUUGAAAUAAAAAAAUUUAUGAAAAGUAGUUGGAUUUAUCUCGAUGGCUCGGUUAAUAACCACGAAAACAAUUUUUGACAACGACAAAGUUACAUAAAUCAAGAAUCUUGCACAAUAUUAAUCUGUCCAGCACUUAAUCUGGAAGACUUCAUUAUCUGGUACUGAAUUUACAUAAUAGUUCAAAUCUGUCCAGCNACCGAAAACAUAGGUCUGUUAUUCAUUUGGGUCAAUAUGUAAAUGUUGGGGGAAAUACAAUCCUACACCUCUAAUUGCCGAUCUGUCGACUGUGUUCAAACAUUUUGCUGAAAUCCAUAUGCAAGGGAAAGGGAGCUAUGGAAGAGAACGGGAAAAAAAUUGAAGGGAUUUUUUAAUGUAGUCUGUCUAUGUACUUGGUGAGAAUUAGUUUUUUAUUUCAUGUCCAUAACCACGUACGUUGAUUCAGUUCGGCUCAAUUAAUAAGCACGAAAACAAAUUAUUUUUUAUAGGCUCGAU